Long non-coding RNA from Gallus gallus (chicken), 164 nucleotides. RefSeq lists it as uncharacterized. NCBI's taxonomy places the organism in Eukaryota, Metazoa, Chordata, Aves, Galliformes, Phasianidae. The transcript is spliced from 2 exons. The record is from RefSeq and is a predicted model, not a curated record.
GAGCCAGAUCCACAGCUGCUACCACAGCUGGAAGCACAGAGCCUCCUGAGAAGCCAGUUGCAGACUCAGAUGCUGCUGUUUCCUGUUUAUUAUUAUAGUGGAAUUUUUUAUGUUUGGGAGUGAUGACGAUGUCUAAGAUACAGCACUGGAAGAAAGCAGAAAGC